Molecule: ribosomal RNA, 497 nt
Filed under: uncultured bacterium
Lineage: Bacteria
Description: partial 16S ribosomal RNA
Rfam family: Bacterial small subunit ribosomal RNA
Source: RNAcentral
GAUGAACGCUGGCGGCGUGCCUAAUACAUGCAAGUCGAGCGAACAGACGAGGAGCUUGCUCCUUUGACGUUAGCGGCGGACGGGUGAGUAACACGUGGAUAACCUACCUAUAAGACUGGGAUAACUUCGGGAAACCGGAGCUAAUACCGGAUAACAUGUUGAACCGCAUGGUCCAAAAGUGAAAGACGGUCUUGCUGUCACUUAUAGAUGGAUCCGCGCCGCAUUAGCUAGUUGGUAAGGUAACGGCUUACCAAGGCAACGAUGCGUAGCCGACCUGAGAGGGUGAUCGGCCACACUGGAACUGAGACACGGUCCAGACUCCUACGGGAGGCAGCAGUAGGGAAUCUUCCGCAAUGGGCGAAAGCCUGACGGAGCAACGCCGCGUGAGUGAAGAAGGUCUUCGGAUCGUAAAACUCUGUUAUUAGGGAAGAACAAAUGUGUAAGUAACUAUGCACGUCUUGACGGUACCUAAUCAGAAAGCCACGGCUAACUACGUG